GUGGGGAAUAUUGGACAAUGGGCGAAAGCCUGAUCCAGCCAUGCCGCGUGUGUGAAGAAGGCCUUCGGGUUGUAAAGCACUUUUGUCUGGGAGGAAGGGCUGUGGGUUAAUACCCUGUUGUUUUGACGUUACCNANAGAAUAAGCACCGGCUAACUCCGUGCCAGCAGCCGCGGUAAUACGNAGGGUGCAAGCGUUAAUCGGAAUUACUGGGCGUAAAGCGUGCGCAGGUGGUUUUUUAAGUCGGAUGUGAAAUCCCCGGGCUCAACCUGGGAACUGCAUUGGAAACUGCCAGGCUAGAAUCUGGUAGAGGGGGGUGGAAUUCCACGUGUAGCAGUGAAAUGCGUAGAGAUGNGGAGGAACACCGAUGGCGAAGGCAGCCCCCUGGACCUAAGAUUGAC
This 399-nucleotide ribosomal RNA is filed under the name beta proteobacterium SCGC AAA044-F20. RNAcentral describes it as "bacterial SSU rRNA". It matches the Rfam family "Bacterial small subunit ribosomal RNA", at positions 354 to 744 of the family's 1533-position model. The record is from RNAcentral. Lineage: Bacteria; Pseudomonadati; Pseudomonadota; Betaproteobacteria.